This is a long non-coding RNA of Ostrinia nubilalis (European corn borer), 407 nucleotides long. RefSeq lists it as uncharacterized. Lineage: Eukaryota; Metazoa; Arthropoda; Insecta; Lepidoptera; Crambidae. The transcript is spliced from 6 exons. The record is from RefSeq and is a predicted model, not a curated record.
UUUGAAGAAUAUUUCUUACUUUUAUAAGCAGACAUGAUAAUAUUUAAACAAAUUACUGUUAUAGGUGGCGAUUGGCGAUUUCUGCUCACAUAAGGUCCCUGGGAACCACCAUCAACGUCACUGAUCUGCUUGACACAUCUUCACAUUAUGCUUCUUUCACUGCAAACUGUAAAGAAAACGGAAUUAUGCUGGCAAUGGAAGAUGAGAAUCAUGCUGCCUUCGAAACUUGACGCUCCUGUGGCUUACAGAUGAGAUAACACGAUCACGCAUUCAAACGUUGGCGUUCCGUGACCUACAGGUAAAUUGACGUCUAUCUGCCUAAGUCCGACGCCGCCACCAGAUUGUGAUAUAAGAUUUUUUCGACUGUAAUUGUUUUUAGUUUAAAUAAAAAAAUAUAUAAAUUUUAA